Molecule: long non-coding RNA, 2082 nt
Organism: Homo sapiens (human)
Lineage: Eukaryota; Metazoa; Chordata; Mammalia; Primates; Hominidae
Exons: 2
Source: RefSeq, a predicted model, not a curated record
GACUCACGGGAUGUGGGUCUGGAAGGAGUUCUGAGCAGCUGAUGCUACCAGGUGGGGAGAUAGUGGGGAGGUGACACCAAACUGAAAUGAAGUGACAGGAGGAGGGCCAGCUUCUGUCAAUUCUCUCAUCAGUCUUGGGAGUUACUGGUAACUAUGCCCAUCUUGCAGAGGAGGAAGCUGAGCUCUGGCACAUGGAACUUGUCCAAGGUCACACAGCUGCAGGCACACUGGCACAGGGCCUGGCCAACCGUCUGUGGAGUUGAUCCAAACCAAUGCUGUGCUGCCCAGGCCUGCCCUGUCACUUCAGGAUGUACAAUUCAGUUAAUUCUUCUGGAGCCAUAUUCAAGCAUCAAGACUCCUGCAGAGGGACAUUCUGCCGGGGGCUCACACGAAUCACUGCAGCACGGUUGGAUUUGGUUUUAGUGCUCACUGAGGUGGCUGCAGCUUGGCGAAACCCUGACAUUAGCCAUAGCAGCUACCUGCUCACCAUUCAGAAGCCAAACACAGUGAGGUCUUGUCCCAAAUAGGAAUUGUGUUUCUGAUGUCAAAAUCUGCAAAUGGAUUCAAUUUGCACAGCAGCUGUCCUCAAAGUUGGCAAUUCGACGUCCUCUCAGACAAUUCAUUUUAAGACAAUGUGCAGUGUUUUAGUCCCAAACCUACAAAAGUCCAUAUGCAUCCCAUUUUCUCCCAAAUCCUGUGGCCUGUGGAUAUUUUCCUUCUAACUUGAAACUGACUGCUGUGGAGGCAGAAGAAAGGCAGAUCCAUGAGGCCAGGAAAGGCGGGCGAGCGGAGCCGCGUGCGGACAGGGCCCUUGUGUGGGUGAAAAGGGACAGGGCACCGGGGCAAAACGGAGCCAUUCUGUGACAAACUCACCUCCCAAAGCCACUCAGGGUGGUUGGCUGCAACAGCAGCGACUCAGAGGGAAAGGCCACUGCACCAGCCCUCAGCUCAGGGGGAAGGCGGUGAGAUGACACCACAGGGCAUUAAGCCAGGGCCCCAGAUCAGGUGUGACGUGGAAACCAAGCAUGCUUCAGGGAAGGCCUGGCAGCAGAGACCCGACUUCUGGGCAGGCAGAGCAGUCAAGGCUGCCCAGCAGCUGCUGGUGGACCCUGGGAAACCAGCUGGGGCUGCACAGGGCCAUCCUCUCCCGCUGAGCUGAUGGAACACGUAUGUCACCUCCUCCUGAGGAUGCGGCCCAGAUGGUGAGUGCGCUGACACCCGCCUUCGAGAAGCCGGGCUGCUGAGUUCCUGCUGGAAGGCACAUCCUCUUGGUAGAAAGGCCCAUCCCCAAAUCUAAUUUUAAAGAAGGCCCAUGAAUCAUUAUCCUAACUGCUCAUUACCCAGGGGCUGUGUGGGGAGCUGCCUCAGACCUUUGGGCUGCUCUAGCCCUGGGGAAGCCAGGAAGGCAUGUAUUGUUAACAACUGCUCUCCUCCAGCCCACGACCCUCUCUCAGAAACCCCCAGCUCACUGCUGCUGCCCUUUCUGCCACGAGAUGUGCCGCGUCUUCCCUUCAUCACCUGAUGCUCCUACAAAAGUGCUCAUUCACAGCGUCCCCAGGCCCCUGGACUCCAGGCCACCCCACAGCCAAACAUUAUCUUCAGAUCUAAUAACAUGCCGUGCCUUCCAAGUAGCACAGAAACCAUAUAAUGAUAAAUCAUAACCAAUAUAUAUUUUCUAUAUGACAUUAUAUAAAAUAUAAUAUCAAUCUUCAAAACUUGCCUAGAACAUAGGUAAAGGUGGUUAGUAAUUCCAUCUAUGCAUAUCCAAAUGUAUUCCCAUCUGUUUGCAAAUGUAUACUUUUCCCACUAGGAAAUCACUCCUGGCUGCCCAAACGGAGGCCCGGUGCCUCUGGUCAUGUCCACAUCUCGUCCAGCGCUUCUGCUGCCUCACCAAGUCUGGAAAGAGCUGCUCUUAUCUCAGGCUACCCACUUCCACUCCGCGCCCCUGCCUGUCCCAUCUCUUGGAAUGAGCGCCAGCUUCCUGGGAGUGGAGUGUACCUCUUUCCCAAACAGGCCCUCUGUCUGGAACGCGCCUCUUCUCACUCCCUGAGUCAUCAAUAAAUCUGUCUCACUUUGUCCUGA